Molecule: ribosomal RNA, 492 nt
Filed under: uncultured bacterium
Lineage: Bacteria
Description: partial 16S ribosomal RNA
Rfam family: Bacterial small subunit ribosomal RNA
Source: RNAcentral
AGUGAACGCUGGCGGUAGGCCUAACACAUGCAAGUCGAACGGCAGCACAGUAAGAGCUUGCUCUUACGGGUGGCGAGUGGCGGACGGGUGAGGAAUACAUCGGAAUCUACUUUUUCGUGGGGGAUAACGUAGGGAAACUUACGCUAAUACCGCAUACGACCUACGGGUGAAAGCAGGGGAUCUUCGGACCUUGCGCGAUUGAAUGAGCCGAUGACGGAUUAGCUAGUUGGCGGGGUAAAGGCCCACCAAGGCGACGAUCCGUAGCUGGUCUGAGAGGAUGAUCAGCCACACUGGAACUGAGACACGGUCCAGCCUCCUACGGGAGGCAGCAGUGGGGAAUAUUGGACAAUGGGCGCAAGCCUGAUCCAGCCAUACCGCGUGGGUGAAGAAGGCCUUCGGGUUGUAAAGCCCUUUUGUUGGGAAAGAAAAGCAGCAGGUUAAUACCCCGCUGUUCUGACGGUACCCACAGAAUAAGCACCGGCUAACUUCGUG